RNAcentral lists this ribosomal RNA (950 nucleotides) under Bacillus aerius. RNAcentral's name for it is "bacterial SSU rRNA". It matches the Rfam family "Bacterial small subunit ribosomal RNA", at positions 94 to 1034 of the family's 1533-position model. Lineage: Bacteria; Bacillati; Bacillota; Bacilli; Caryophanales; Bacillaceae. The record is from RNAcentral.
AGCGGCGGACGGUGAGUAACACGUGGGUAACUGCCUGUAAGACUGGGAUAACUCCGGGAAACCGGAGCUAAUACCGGAUAGUUCCUUGAACCGCAUGGUUCAAGGAUGAAAGACGGUUUCGGCUGUCACUUACAGAUGGACCCGCGGCGCAUAGCUAGUUGGUGAGGUAACGGCUCACCAAGGCGACGAUGCGUAGCCGACCUGAGAGGGUGAUCGGCCACACUGGGACUGAGACACGGCCCAGACUCCUACGGGAGGCAGCAGUAGGGAAUCUUCCGCAAUGGACGAAAGUCUGACGGAGCAACGCCGCGUGAGUGAUGAAGGUUUCGGAUCGUAAAGCUCUGUUGUUAGGGAAGAACAAGUGCAAGAGUAACUGCUUGCACCUUGACGGUACCUAACCAGAAAGCCACGGCUAACUACGUGCCAGCAGCCGCGGUAAUACGUAGGUGGCAGCGUUGUCCGGAAUUAUUGGGCGUAAAGGGCUCGCAGGCGGUUUCUUAAGUCUGAUGUGAAAGCCCCCGGCUCAACCGGGGAGGGUCAUUGGAAACUGGGAAACUUGAGUGCAGAAGAGGAGAGUGGAAUUCCACGUGUAGCGGUGAAAUGCGUAGAGAUGUGGAGGAACACCAGUGGCGAAGGCGACUCUCUGGUCUGUAACUGACGCUGAGGAGCGAAAGCGUGGGGAGCGAACAGGAUUAGAUACCCUGGUAGUCCACGCCGUAAACGAUGAGUGCUAAGUGUUAGGGGGUUUCCGCCCCUUAGUGCUGCAGCUAACGCAUUAAGCACUCCGCCUGGGGAGUACGGUCGCAAGACUGAAACUCAAAGGAAUUGACGGGGGCCCGCACAAGCGGUGGAGCAUGUGGUUUAAUUCGAAGCAACGCGAAGAACCUUACCAGGUCUUGACAUCCUCUGACAACCCUAGAGAUAGGGCUUUCCCUUCGGGGACAGAGUGA